This 563-nucleotide ribosomal RNA is filed under the name uncultured bacterium. Its description in RNAcentral is "partial 16S ribosomal RNA". It matches the Rfam family "Bacterial small subunit ribosomal RNA", at positions 355 to 909 of the family's 1533-position model. The record is from RNAcentral.
UGGGGAAUUUUGGACAAUGGGCGCAAGCCUGAUCCAGCCAUGCCGCGUGCGGGAAGAAGGCCUUCGGGUUGUAAACCGCUUUUGUCAGGGAAGAAAUCUUCUGAGUUAAUACCUCGGGAGGAUGACGGUACCUGAAGAAUAAGCACCGGCUAACUACGUGCCAGCAGCCGCGGUAAUACGUAGGGUGCAAGCGUUAAUCGGAAUUACUGGGCGUAAAGCGUGCGCAGGCGGUUUUGUAAGACAGAGGUGAAAUCCCCGGGCUCAACCUGGGAACUGCCUUUGUGACUGCAAGGCUUGAGUGCGGCAGAGGGGGAUGGAAUUCCGCGUGUAGCAGUGAAAUGCGUAGAUAUGCGGAGGAACACCGAUGGCGAAGGCAAUCCCCUGGGCCUGCACUGACGCUCAUGCACGAAAGCGUGGGGAGCAAACAGGAUUAGAUAGCCCUGGUAGUCCACGCCCUAAAACGAUGUCAACUGGUUGUUGGGAAGGUUCCUUCUCAGUAACGUAGCUAACGCGUGAAGUUGACCGCCUGGGGAGUACGGCCGCAAGGUUGAAACUCAAAUGAA